GUACUUUAGCAAGGCGUCUAUACCCACCCUGACAAUCCUGGAGUAGCUUUUGGCCACUUCUGUCAUGAUUGCAUAAGCAAUAUUAACCGUGGUCACGCUAUCCGCCUCGGGGUCACAGCCUGAGCACGACAGUUCCGGGGCACUGCUCCCUGGCAUCGGUACCCUUCUUCGCUUCGCUCGUCACGGCUUUUUGUCUGAGCGUCACUGGACGAGAGAAGUCUUGAGGCUCUGGUACCCAUACCCAAGGUAUGGAAUUGGCUUUGAUACCUGAAACCAGCGCAAUCUGCAGACAAGGUAGACGACCGCUUAAUUAGAUUAAAGAAGACUCCUCCUCCAGGCAGAGUUCCAUGAAACUUUUUCCUGAAGUCUUGAAAAGCCGCGAGAUGAUAAAUAAUAAUAUGCUGCUCUAUAACAUUAAACUGCCAUCCAGAUUCAGAGAUCAAUAUUCUAUACAGUUUGUCUGGUUAUCUAUGCGUCAAACUCCAGUCACGUGUUUUCACGCAAGCAGACACUGACUGACAGUGUAAUUAUGCGUAGGCUUUCUCAAAACAUUUUAGAUGUACGAAGUAGCUUUCUCGACCGGGGCAGCUUUUUUAUCUUUGAACUUGUCAAUCUGGCUAAUCCACCAAAUGUUCACGAGGUUAAUACACGUGAUGAAUGUAUUUCUGGCUGUGAUAUCCUUACAUAAUACGCACCCUGUUAAGAGCAUUUAGACACGUGUCCUCUCGUCUCGGUACCACCGAAAUACCCCGUACCCCUGCCCAGAUUGUUCUUCAAGAAAGAGAAAAACUUAUGCUAUAUAUACGGUCUUCAAAUAUCUUAGUCCUUAGCGAAAAACCUGCAAACAAACAAAUAGCACAGGAGACGAUGAUAAAUAAGAUUAAACCGAGAGAAACGAGUAGACGGUAGUCUCUCCAGGGGAGAAGAGGGACUGGCGUAUCAGUUUUCCUUGAGAAACUUAACUCAUGUUGUUUUCACUGGCUUACCUCUUGUUGUUUUCACAUGCUCUUGGUCAGUCUCCAGUCAACAGUAAUUAUUGAUCACCUCCUGUAAUUGUCUUUUAUUGUCUUAUAUUAUCCUAGAAUAAAGGUCACAAAGGUCACUAUUGCUUUGUGAUGUGUAUUUAUACAGAAUUAGCGGUAUUUCUAACGUUUGAGCAGUUGAAGAUAGGAUAUUAUAAGACAAUUAUAGAACAAUUACAGGUGAUCAAUCGUUACUGGCAUUGACUGGAGACUGACUGAGAAUUGAGAGGAUGUUUUAUCGGUUGGUUGAUCCAAUUGUUUUCGAAAUUAUCUGCUGUGUGCAAUAUUGAAGUAAUUAGCACUGCCCUAUUGCGUUAAAGUUGAAAUCGAACUGAUAGUUGCGUUACCAAUGUCUUACAAAUAUAAGGUAAAUAAUUGAGGAAAAGGCCGGGGUUUCGUAUUUUCGCUAUCUAUCUUUUUUUUACGAUGAUGAUAAAAGUAGUAUGUAUUUGUUAUGUCCAUGAGACUUGAUCUCCUUGGAUUGGAUCCAAGUGUGUGUUGUACUUUCGCCACGGGCGAUGGGAUAGUUGAUUGACGAAUGUAACCUUUGUAUUGUUUGUAUUUUGUUUAUAAAUAAAGUAAACGUGUUGUC
Molecule: long non-coding RNA, 1614 nt
Organism: Nematostella vectensis (starlet sea anemone)
Lineage: Eukaryota; Metazoa; Cnidaria; Anthozoa; Actiniaria; Edwardsiidae
Exons: 2
Source: RefSeq, a predicted model, not a curated record